RNAcentral lists this microRNA precursor (92 nucleotides) under Paramuricea clavata. The record is from RNAcentral. Lineage: Eukaryota; Metazoa; Cnidaria; Anthozoa; Malacalcyonacea; Plexauridae.
CUUCAAAAGUUUGCAAAUUUUGUACACUUUUGUAUUGCAAUUUUCGCAUGCAAUACAAAAGUAUACAAAAUUUGCAAACUUUGCAAAGCUAU